RNAcentral lists this ribosomal RNA (378 nucleotides) under Bacillus amyloliquefaciens. RNAcentral describes it as "bacterial SSU rRNA". It matches the Rfam family "Bacterial small subunit ribosomal RNA", at positions 1157 to 1533 of the family's 1533-position model. Lineage: Bacteria; Bacillati; Bacillota; Bacilli; Caryophanales; Bacillaceae. The record is from RNAcentral.
GACAAACCGGAGGAAGGUGGGGAUGACGUCAAAUCAUCAUGCCCCUUAUGACCUGGGCUACACACGUGCUACAAUGGACAGAACAAAGGGCAGCGAAACCGCGAGGUUAAGCCAAUCCCACAAAUCUGUUCUCAGUUCGGAUCGCAGUCUGCAACUCGACUGCGUGAAGCUGGAAUCGCUAGUAAUCGCGGAUCAGCAUGCCGCGGUGAAUACGUUCCCGGGCCUUGUACACACCGCCCGUCACACCACGAGAGUUUGUAACACCCGAAGUCGGUGAGGUAACCUUUAUGGAGCCAGCCGCCGAAGGUGGGACAGAUGAUUGGGGUGAAGUCGUAACAAGGUAGCCGUAUCGGAAGGUGCGGCUGGAUCACCUCCUUU